GUCGUAGUACAUCCUUGCGGCCACAGCAACCAUGUUGUAUCCACCCGCCCUGGCCAUGCUGCUGAAUGGUGGAAUCGUAAUAGUCGGAGGAUAGCAUGCCAUCCUCCGAUGUGACCUUGCGUGCCUGGAGUGUUUACGUGUCCCCUGCAGGUGUUGUUGCAUGCAAGAGCAGUAUAACUUCAAUUCCCUUAGCCCUAUUCAUCCAAUGCGUCCAUCGGUGAUACUUGCAUUUUGCAUUGAUGUCGCUGAGAAAGCCACUCUAUCUGGUCUUGCUGCGAGAGUGACAAAGGCGAAAUAGUUCGACUGAUGCUGUUUGAAGUUAAAUGGGAAAAAUAAUACCAGGUCAGUAUGUGACAGAAUGCUAAUAAACACCUGUCGGAAUCCUUUGAGGAACUUGGGAGGAAUAAGGAAGAUAAUUUGUUGGAGGAAUCAUAGUAGAGUGAACUGUUGAGUCCUGCUUGUAUUUAAUUUUUCAGAUCUUGUAGUCCUGCAAGUAGCAGACCUACAUCAAAAUCAUCAGUUUUCAAAAUCC
RNAcentral lists this ribosomal RNA (532 nucleotides) under Triticum aestivum (bread wheat). RNAcentral describes it as "partial small subunit ribosomal RNA". The record is from RNAcentral. Lineage: Eukaryota; Viridiplantae; Streptophyta; Magnoliopsida; Poales; Poaceae.